GGCAGGCCCAGGGCUGUGCCCCGGCAGCAGCAGCACAAGGAGCUGAGGCGGCAGGGCGGGCCCGUCCGGAGGGCACAGGGGGAUGGCGGCCUGAACGCCAGUCCCUCACGCCUUGCACCCGAAUCUUUCCGUUCCUAGAGUUCGUCACACGCCUCUCUCUGCCGUUCCCCGUUUCUGCCAGCAAAGGGGAAAACUUGAGUUCACCCGGAGCCCUCAGUGAAGCUCUCGGUGCCCGGCCCGGAUCCCCCCUGGGCUGAAGGAGAAACCCUCGGGGCUGCUGAGCCUCGGGCGCUUCAUCGGGCAUCGGCCUCGGGAGGAAUCAAGUUUUCUUUGCUGGAAAAACGUGGGGAACAGCAGAGUGGAGUCCAAAGUGUUAGAGGAAUUCCUGGAACAGAAGGAUUUGGCGCCCGGGGCUGCGGCUGUGCACACACACGAGAUGCAGCAGAACUCCUCCGCGGGGCUCAGCCGGGUGCGUGAUUCUGGUAACAUGGGUCUGGUGCCUCUCCUCCCUGCCGGCCCGCAUUCCCUGCGGAUGAAAGCCACGCGAUCCCAGCCGCCGCCGUUACCUGCCUCCCGCCACUGCUGCUCCUUCCUGCUCGGGAAAAGCAGCAGAACCUCCAGGUGUGUUUCCUCAGGUUGAACGCAGCUCCUGGGACACAGACCUGGCUGGCAGGGCAGCUGUGCAGGGGCAGAGUCCUGGGUGCCAGCGUUUCCUGGAGCCAAGGAAGCCCAGCACCGUUCCUGCCUUUUCAGCCAUCCACCUGAAGGACUCUCCUGCCAGGAAGAGCUCCCACAACUCCUGCUGACAGACAAGACUUUUCAGGAAAAAGCUCUUUGAUUUUGGCACAGUCGCCCCCAGGAAUCUGAAGUUUGAGGAAUGAAGGCUCUGGGAACUGAGAGCUCCUGAGGAGAGGAUUGGGAAGAUAAAACAAGGGGAAUUUCUGAACAAAAAUGACGUUUGCCUUUAAAAAAAUCUCUUUUUUUUGAAUGAGCUCGGAGCAUUCUGGCUACCCUACUUGCAGUAUCCACCGAGGACAAAGCCUCGGGCUAAAUGAAAUUCCUGCUUGCACAGCCCUGCAACGUGCAGAUCCUCAUCCUGAGAGGCUCAGCGUGGCCUGCCUGCUGCAGGGCCGGGGAGCUCUGCUGCUGGAAAGCCCCGGCUCGGGAGGAAGUCGGGAGCCCGCGCCACGCUCCCAGGAAAAUGUGAAAAAUGCGCGGGGAAGGAAAAUUUUCCAUUUUACAGAGCUGGGAGGGAACUGCAUCCCUUCCCAGCAAGGCCCUUCCCUCCCUGGCAGCCACAGCCUCACCUCACGCUGCAAAUCCCGAGCCUGGGCAGCUCCUAAGGAAAAAUCCCCGCAGGGAAAGCAAAGUCAGAGCAAGCAGCAGAGCUCCCGAGCAGGGCAGGCCUCGGGCACCACCAGCACUGAGCUGCCCUCCCUGUCCUGCCAAUAAAAAAAACCCUUACAAACAUCUUACCAAGAUUUAAUGUACAUUUAUUCUUAACACGUGGAACAUAUAGUAUAAAGAUUUCAUACUGAAUAAAUGAUAUUCAUUAAGCCAAAAAAGGAAAAAAGGGAGGAAUUUACAUCAAGUUUUUAGCUACAUCGUCUGAAAUACAAAUAUGCAGAAUUCAUCACUGAAAAAUCUCAAUUGUGUUUCUUCAUCAGGAACUUCAACUGAACCUAGAACUUUUUCACACCUCGAUUAGAAAGAAAACAAAAACAGGAAAAAAAUAAACUAUAAGUUGAUUGGCUGCUGAGACAGCAAUGACUUUAUACACAGAGACCUGUACAGCAUCCUCCAGGGAGGGAUGUCUGGCAAGAGAUUAAAUAAUUGUGUCUCGCUUUUGCAGGUCAUCAACUCGUUAACUCGUCAUACUAUAAAGGGUGGGAGGGGACAAAACUGCAGGAGUCUCAGGGUAUGUGCAAUGUACAACGUCAUAUAUAUAUACACACGUGGCAGCGCUGGGCUGCAGCUAAAGGUUAAAACCAGUUCUAAGAGGUGAUCUCAGGGUUAUUCAUACAAUCAAGGAGGAAGAGAGAAAGAGGUCAGGGUGUUGUAGGUUCACACAUUAUACUUUGGGGGAAAAGCCUUUUUUUUUCUCCUCAACAUUAACUAAAAACAUUUUUAAAAACUACAGCUUGCUGCUGAUCCAGCGUUUUUUUCUUUUUUUUUUUUAUCCAUGUGAGACAUUAUUACAGUAUGUUUACAGUUUAAGGUGUACAGUACAUGGAGUUCUACACGCUACUGCACAGGCCUCCCUUGGACAAGGUCUGUUCACAACUGGUAACUUCUUGGUUCCUGCAAGAUUGUGAAUGUACAACGAUAAACCACACAGAGUUCAGCAGUCACUUUUUGUCCUUCAGAGUUUACCAUUAAAAACAGUUAUGAAAGUGGUGCCUGUCAACGGGAUAACACGGCAAGUCGUCUUUCCCCAAACUCACUGUAAACGACAGUAACUUUGGUUAAAAUAAAAAAAGUCUUCUAUGUA
This is a long non-coding RNA of Pyrgilauda ruficollis (rufous-necked snowfinch), 2491 nucleotides long. RefSeq lists it as uncharacterized. The transcript has 2 exons. The record is from RefSeq and is a predicted model, not a curated record. NCBI's taxonomy places the organism in Eukaryota, Metazoa, Chordata, Aves, Passeriformes, Passeridae.